GGAAGUAAAAGUCGUAACAAGGUUUCCGUAGGUGAACCUGCGGAAGGAUCAUUACUGAUUUAGCGAACCGAGCGUUAGCGAGGUUUUGCGAUCAACUUGUAUUUAAAACCCACUCUUCAAUGUAUAAAAUUUGUAUUAAUGAUAAAUUAAAAGAUCACUUUCAACAACGGAUCUCUUGGCUCUCGCAUCGAUGAAGAACGUAGCGAAGUGCGAUAAGUAAUGUGAAUUGCAGUAUUCCGUGAAUCAUCGAACCUUUGAACGCAUAUUGCACUUUCUGGUAUUCCGGAAAGUAUGCCUGUUUGAGGGUCAGUUAAAUAAAAAUCGGCGUUGUUGCCGCUUUCCGUGGUGACGCGUCGGAAUUGAGUCGUCUUCGGUUAAGUGACUUAAAAUUUUAUAUGAUUUUCGAACGUAUUUAAAUUUAUUUGAACGUUUGAUAUCGAAUGCUUAUUAGGUUCGGUCAUCCUCAUGACUCGCGCCUAUAAUUUUUCAUUAAAUGACCUCAAAUCAGGUAAGAAUACCCGCUGAACUUAAGCAUAUCAAUAAGCGGAGGA
This 551-nucleotide ribosomal RNA is filed under the name uncultured Glomus. RNAcentral's name for it is "eukaryotic LSU rRNA". The stretch from base 156 to 309 matches the Rfam family "5.8S ribosomal RNA". Lineage: Eukaryota; Fungi; Glomeromycota; Glomeromycetes; Glomerales; Glomeraceae. The record is from RNAcentral.